Molecule: ribosomal RNA, 349 nt
Filed under: uncultured Planctomycetota bacterium
Lineage: Bacteria; Pseudomonadati; Planctomycetota
Description: bacterial SSU rRNA
Rfam family: Bacterial small subunit ribosomal RNA
Source: RNAcentral
GGAUUAGGCAUGCAAGUCGAACGAGGAUAUAUCCUUCGGGAUAUAAGCCGAGUGGCGCAAGGGUGAGUAAUGCAUAGAUUACCUGCCUCCGGGAUAAGGACAACUUUGUGAAAACGGAGCUAAUACUUAAUAAUACAAAAGAAAAUAAUUUCUUUUGUCAAAGGGAGGGUAGCAAUACCUUUUGCCUAAAGAGGGGUUUAUGUCCUAUCAGCUUGUUGGUAGGGUAACGGCCUACCAAGGCGAAGACGGGUAGUCGGCCUUAGAGGGUAGUCGGCCACACUGGAACUGAGACACUGUCCAGACUUCUACGGAAGGCUGCAGUCGAGAAUCUUUCGCAAUGCCCGAAAGG